CCUACGGGAGGCUGCAGUGAGGGAUAUUGGUCAAUGGGGGAAACCCUGAACCAGCAACGCCGCGUGAGGGAAGACGGUUUUCGGAUUGUAAACCUCUGUCCUCUGUGAAGAUAAUGACGGUAGCAGAGGAGGAAGCUCCGGCUAACUCCGUGCCAGCAGCCGCGGUAAUACGGGGGAUGCAAGCGUUAUCCGGAUUUAUUGGGUUUAAAGGGUGCGUAGGCUGUGAGGUAAGUCAGCGGUGAAAUGCCCCCGCUCAACGGGGUGAAGUGCCAUUGAUACUGCCUUGCUGGAAUGCGGAUGCCGUGGGAGGAAUGUGUGGUGUAGCGGUGAAAUGCAUAGAUAUCACACAGAACACCGAUUGCGAAGGCAUCUCACGAAUCCGCGAUUGACGCUGAUGCACGAAAGCGUGGGUAUCAAACAGGAUUAGAUACCCUUGUAGUC
This 441-nucleotide ribosomal RNA is filed under the name uncultured bacterium. RNAcentral describes it as "partial 16S ribosomal RNA". It matches the Rfam family "Bacterial small subunit ribosomal RNA", at positions 338 to 795 of the family's 1533-position model. The record is from RNAcentral.